Long non-coding RNA from Passer domesticus (house sparrow), 2814 nucleotides. RefSeq lists it as uncharacterized. Lineage: Eukaryota; Metazoa; Chordata; Aves; Passeriformes; Passeridae. The record is from RefSeq and is a predicted model, not a curated record. The transcript has 2 exons.
AUCACAGCAAAUCUAUCAAAGAAGGCCAACAUUCCAGGGGCUCAGAUCGACAUCUAAUAUCCAAACUGAAAGAGGGGAGGUUUAGAUAUGAAGAAAUUCCUCCCUGUGAGGGUAGGGAGCCCCUGGCACAGGGUGCCCAAAGAAGCUGUGGCUGCCCCUGGAUCCCUGGACAUGUCCAAGGCCAGGUUGGACAGGGCUUGGAGCACCCUGGGAGAGUGGAAGGUGUCCCAGCCCAUGACAGAGAUGAUCGUGAAGAUGAGGAAAUGAUCCAGAAAAGUGGCAUUGAUUUUGAAGAGCAGCAAAAUUUGCCAGUCAUUGCUUGUUGCUAAGCUGCAACAACAACAAAAAAAAAAGGCCUCCAUCAGCUCUCAGCAUGUCAGUCACAAAUAUCAAUGAGAUGUGGUAUUUACAGUGUGUGCAAGGCUCAGGGAAAGACUGAGACUGCAUCCUGCACUUGGAACAAUUUGGAUGGGACCUUAAAUACCUCCUCACUUGGUUUCACCAAACGAGCUGUGUGAUGUUUUUCUUUGGGCAAUCGGUGUUUUUCAUCUACAGGCUGUGAUCCAUUUAUAAAAAUGCAGGGAAGAUAUUUUAGAGAAAGGGAAAACUACAUGGUCCUAACAAGUCUGCAACUUAGACUGCAAGGAGGUGUUUGUCAGAUCCUCCUCUUAGGAAUCACAUGCCCUUUAGAGCAUUAAAUCUCAACUCCAGCCUGGAAUUUGUUAACUAGAGCUGGACAGCAGAGCUGCAGCCAGAAUAAACAAUUUUUUAUGGCAAGCUUGUGCAAGGAACCAGCCUCAGUGGUCUGUUCUUUCUUCCUUUCUCUAAAUAUUAUUCAUCUAUAACAAAACCCAGCUGAUGACUUUUUCCCCAGUCUAUAUGCCCUCUGAAAAUUUGAUGCAAGACACACAAAUUUCAACACAGAAAAUCUCCACUUGCUUUGUGUCCAGGGGAAGGAGAGAGCUGGCACAAAACCUUUAACCCUUUCACAGAAAAAUCCCUGGGUAGUAGCAGGGAAGAUAUGAGAGUAAAUAUUGCACAGUAAAUAUUCCUUUAUACCUUUUUAUUCAGCUCCUUUAUACUUUACAUCUUUUUACCCAGCUCUGCAGAGAGCCCCCAAGGUCAACAAGUAAUUUACAAAUAUAUUUAACAACAACAAUCACAUGAAUAAUAUGAAUAUUGUAAUAUGAAUAAACAUAUAAAUCCACAGGUAGAAGCUGGUUUGUUUUUUUUUUUUGACAGACUACAUGCAAACACUUUACUAUAAGUAAUAAACACUCUUUGCCAUGACUAAUGGCUUGCAGAAGAAAUUUGAAGCAUAAAGCUCAGAACAGUGACAGAAAGGCUUCCCUGCACCCCUUCUUUUUCCUUCUUCACAUCUCUUGCCCCCAGUCUUACACACAGUAUUUUUUACAGAGGUCAAUAAUAUUGGUAAACAAAGUAAGGAGUGGAAAAUGAAGUACAAACCUGUUAGGUGAUGAAGGAAAAUGAAGUACAAACUUGUCAGUUGAUUAAUUCCUUCCUAAAGCACAUCAGAGGCUGCACAGGUUAUUUACUCUAAUAUCUUCCCUGUUAUGAGAUGACAAAGCAUUAUUUUCAGAUGUCCAAACAUUCAAUCAAGAGCUCUUUCCUUCCUAAUUUCAUUCCAAGGUCUCAUUUUCCCACCCCCCUUCCAGCACUGCCAGAUGAAAGGCCACAAUUAAAAACCUCCAGAUCCCAUUCACUUAUUUUAUAAUAACAAACACGAGCUUUCAUGAUAUGCCAAAGGCCUCAUUUAAAAAUCACAGAAUCAAAGAAUUAUUUGGGUCGGAAAAGACCACUAAGAUAAUCAAGUCCAACCAUUAACCCAGAACUGACAAGGGCACCACUAAACCUUGUCCCCAAGUGCCACAAAAGAUAAGUCCCUCCAGGGAUGGUGACUCCACCACCUCCCUGGGCAGUGCCAGUGCUUGAUUCCUCUUUUGAUGAUAAAUUUUCCAUUUUCUCUGGUUUUAUCACUUGGAGAAGAUACCAACCCCCACCUGGCUACAACCUCCUUUAAGGAAGUUGUAGAGAAUGAUAACAGGGAGGAAGAGGACACAGACCCAUUCAAAAAUUACAGACAUAGUUGAUAUCCAUCCACUGUAGCAAUGAAUACACUUUGAAAGGGAAGCAACAGCAAAAAGAAAACAAAAUAUAAACCCAAAAUGAAGCACAUCAGCUUAACAAAAAUAAGAAAGUUCAAGUUCUGAAGGCAGAAUUCUAACAGCAUGGAAAAGAUUAUUUUUUUCCUCAUAAGAGGAUAAAACCAAGCUACCUAUAGAAACAAGCCCAGAGCAAAUAUCAUGUAUUACCAACAGAUUUAAAAUCCUAUCUUCCUUUCCUCCCAGGCACCCUGUGUAACUGCAUGAGGCGUUUUGCCAUCUAUCUGCAUUGUAAGCAAGAACAAGGAGUUGGGAAGGGAUUGUUUGUGGCAUUCACAUUCUCUGGAAAAAUCCUUUCACCCAGGAUUUUUCUCCUGGGAAGCUGAGUAGCUUCAGAGAAAAAGGAAAACAAUUCUUAUCUCCUUUGCUUCUCCUCUGUUUUGCUCAUGUGGAUGUGUUUGGAGAUUGUUUACCCACAGGCAAUUGUUUCAUUGGUUUCUGGUGUGAAUUAUUUUGACUCUUUGGCCAAUCAGUGCCAAGCUGUGUUGAGACUCUGGAAAGAAUCACAAGUUUUCAUUAUUAUCUUUUUAGCACUGAGUAAGUAUCCUUUCUGUAUUCUUUAGUAUAGUUUAGUAUAGUAUUCUUUAAUAUAAUAUAGUAUUAUAAAAUAAUAAAUCAGCCUGUCUGAGAA